CAUCAUGGCCCUUACGACCAGGGCUACACACGUGCUACAACGGCGCAUACAAAGAGAAGCGACCUCGCGAGAGCAAGCCGACCUCAUAAAGUGCGUCGUAGUCCGGAUUGGAGUCUGCAACUCGACUCCAUGAAGUCGGAAUCGCUAGUAAUCGUGGAUCAGAAUGCCACGGUGAAUACGUUCCCGGGGCUUGUACACACCGCCCGUCACACCAUGGGAGUGAGUUGCAAAAGAAGUAGGUAGCUUAACCU
This 251-nucleotide ribosomal RNA is filed under the name Salmonella enterica subsp. enterica serovar Typhimurium. Its description in RNAcentral is "partial 16S ribosomal RNA". It matches the Rfam family "Bacterial small subunit ribosomal RNA", at positions 1191 to 1441 of the family's 1533-position model. The record is from RNAcentral. Lineage: Bacteria; Pseudomonadati; Pseudomonadota; Gammaproteobacteria; Enterobacterales; Enterobacteriaceae.